GGCUCCUGAUCCGGACGUUCAUUUACUUGAGUCCGAACUCUCACUUUCUAACCCUGUGCAUUUGUUUUGGUUAGUAGAAUGCUUGCGUUCGAACACCUCUUCAUUUUACAAACACUAAGUCAAAGAAUGUUUAAAUUUUAUAACAAAACAAAACUUUCAACAACGGAUCUCUUGGCUCUCGCAUCGAUGAAGAACGCAGCAA
RNAcentral lists this unclassified non-coding RNA (202 nucleotides) under uncultured Sporidiobolales. RNAcentral's name for it is "sequence contains ITS1". The stretch from base 152 to 202 matches the Rfam family "5.8S ribosomal RNA", at positions 1 to 51 of the family's 154-position model. Lineage: Eukaryota; Fungi; Basidiomycota; Microbotryomycetes; Sporidiobolales. The record is from RNAcentral.